This 45-nucleotide non-coding RNA is filed under the name Schistosoma mattheei. The record is from RNAcentral. Lineage: Eukaryota; Metazoa; Platyhelminthes; Trematoda; Strigeidida; Schistosomatidae.
AUAUAGCUGAUGAGUUCCAAAUAGAACGAAACGCAUGUCCUGGAU